CGCGCGCGUCUCCCUUGCUCCCCAGCGCUCACGCUCGCGCGCAGUUCCCUGUCGCCGGCUAGCCUUCAGCCGCCGACGUCUCGGCCCCUCAGAAAGCCGGUCGCACCAUGUCUUCGCCUCCCGAGGGAAAGCUAGAGACGAAAGCAGGACACCCGCCCGCCGUGAAAGCUGGUGGGAUGCGAAUUGUGCAGAAACAUCCGCACUCUGGAGAUGCCAAGGAAGAGAAGGACAAGGAUGACCAGGAGUGGGAAAGCCCCAGAAGCCCCAUGCCUCCAUAGACAAGCAUCCAUGCCCGAGAACCCAGCACAUCCAGCAGCCUCGCAAGUGAUCGGCGAGCACCCACCACCCACCCUAGCCUCGGUUCCCUGACACUUGGUAUUUCCCAACAAAGAGGACUGGCAUCUUCUUCAAAACACUUCCCCGUGGAGAAAUCCAAGACAAAGCAAAACUCCCCUUCCGUUGCCUUAAAUUUCCACAUCUAACACUAGAAUCAGACCCCAAACCUUGUUUGCAGGGAGUCCUGGCUGGUGUCACUUGAGGGUCCUUGGGCCUCUUACAAGUGCCAUUAGCAGAACUUACCGGACCUGAGUGAAAUGAGCUUGUUCAGAGUUUAGCUUUGUUCCCAUUCAUCGGCUGCCCUGUCAGUGGACUUAAAAACAAGCGGGCACAGAUUUUGGAGGGUUAGAGGAAGGUCAGGGGAAAGCUCAGUCAUUUCAUGCUUUUUGGUAAGAGGACCAUAACGUCUUAACACCUAGUGGACAGAGAAAGAGAUGAAGGCAUUGAUUACAGGAAGGCUGAGCAGGGGAGACUUUUGAAACAGGCAACAGCAUCGCUGUAUUUCCCUCCCUUGUGUGACAAGGGAUCACAGCACAGGAGACACCAAGCACUCACAGAAAGGCCACGGAAAAGCUCACAGCUUUGAAAUGGCUCUUCUUUCCCAGGAGUCAUCUUGCUGAAAAUUUUGCCCAAACCAGAUCUGUCAGUGCGGGUCCCAAGUCCGGCACAGCCCCACCAUCCAUAAUGGGUUUGUAGGAAAUCAAGGAAAACCUUCCUUCUUCAAGCAUCACCUCCAGAGCUGUCUUCAGGUUCUGGCCGUGAUCACUGACCAGGUGACACAUAGCUAGUCUUGGAACCCUAGAGCAAAAGCCGUUAACGUCCGUGGAAAGACCAGAUGAAAACCUGCCCUUUGCCUCCCUAGGGAAAAGCAGAACACCAUGUGCCAUUUGAGCUACAAAAGCCUGUUUGUCAACCAGUCAAAGUGUCCAGAUUCCCUCUGCCCAAGGGCCCCGUUGCCUGGGCCCAUGUUCACUUGCCAUCUCAAACCGUCUAGCACUUUCUGUCCACAUGUCCUGCCCAGAGCCACCCUAGACUGCCCACUGGCUCAUAGCUACCAUAUGCCUUGCUUUUCUGAAAAGCCAAAGGGCUCAUUUAUUUACUCAGAGGUUCAAAUCUCCCAGAGCAGAUGCUUUGAGAGAAGGUGCAGCCUGGCAGUCCCGCUUGCCGGAGUGGUGUUUGCUGCAGCUGGGCACACACACCACAGUCCUUGCGAUGCCUUCUCCAGGUCCACAGCCAUGACUGGUAAGAGUGCCAGAGGCCAGGAGACCCAGCUCUCAUCCUUCCCUAAGGGAAAAGCCAGCACUUCUUCACAUCCUAAAAGUAAUGUUUGGUUUCCCAUCUCAUUGAUGUGGGAGCCGGGGUCUUACCCUGCAAGCGCUGUAUAGUCACGUCUCCUAGUCCUUAAUUGCUAAGAUGCUGCCAUACUCUGGGGCUGGCUUGUGGAGAUGCAGGCUAGAUGGGCAGCCACCUCCUGGAGGCAGCAUCUCUGAAGGAUGCUGAGAGCAGACAGCACCAGGUCAGGUCUGUGGACCACUACACCCUCUGCUGCAGAAAUGAAGACACGUCCUCGAUGCUUUUUAGUGUUGCAGCCAGGAUCAACUCGCUACUCCCCAUGGUGCAUCUUUCACGUCCUUUUUGCUACAUCUGGCAUGGAGCUGUGUGUUGUAGAAUCACUGAACGCAAAAGGUUCUCCUGGAUGAGUUUAUCUGUAGUUAACUUUUAAGAAUAAUAAUGGUGAUAAUAAAGCUC
Molecule: long non-coding RNA, 2085 nt
Filed under: Sus scrofa (pig)
Lineage: Eukaryota; Metazoa; Chordata; Mammalia; Artiodactyla; Suidae
Description: lncRNA (ENSSSCG00030024113.1)
Source: RNAcentral